CAGCCGCCGCGGGAAACGUAGGGUGCAAGCGUUAAUCGGAAUUACUGGGCGUAAAGCGUGCGUAGGUGGUGGUUUAAGUCCGUUGUGAAAGCCCUGGGCUCAACCUGGGAAUUGCAGUGGAUACUGGGUCACUAGAGUGUGGUAGAGGAUAGUGGAAUUUCCGGUGUAGCAGUGAAAUGCGUAGAGAUCGGAAGGAACAUCUGUGGCGAAGGCGACUAUCUGGGCCAACACUGACACUGAGGCACGAAAGCGUGGGGAGCAAACAGGAUUAGAUACCCCUGUAGUCCCUGUCUCUUAUACA
RNAcentral lists this ribosomal RNA (301 nucleotides) under uncultured bacterium. Its description in RNAcentral is "partial 16S ribosomal RNA". It matches the Rfam family "Bacterial small subunit ribosomal RNA", at positions 509 to 808 of the family's 1533-position model. The record is from RNAcentral.